UACGUAGGGGGCAAGCGUUGUCCGGAAUUAUUGGGCGUAAAGCGCGCGCAGGCGGCUUCUUAAGUCAGGUGUGAAAGCCCACGGCUCAACCGUGGAGGGCCACUUGAAACUGGGAGGCUUGAGUGCAGGAGAGGAGAGCGGAAUUCCACGUGUAGCGGUGAAAUGCGUAGAGAUGUGGAGGAACACCUGUGGCGAAGGCGGCUCUCUGGCCUGUAACUGACGCUGAGGCGCGAAAGCGUGGGGAGCGAACAGG
This 253-nucleotide ribosomal RNA is filed under the name uncultured bacterium. Its description in RNAcentral is "partial 16S ribosomal RNA". It matches the Rfam family "Bacterial small subunit ribosomal RNA", at positions 524 to 776 of the family's 1533-position model. The record is from RNAcentral.